Molecule: long non-coding RNA, 1472 nt
Organism: Gasterosteus aculeatus aculeatus (three-spined stickleback)
Lineage: Eukaryota; Metazoa; Chordata; Actinopteri; Perciformes; Gasterosteidae
Source: Ensembl
GGUCUUUAGGACUUUCUUGUUCUGUUGGGCGUUUCCUAAAAUACUGUUAAAGUCACCACAAAGACAAGACGGUUACUUUAAUAGUCGCAUUGCCAAUAUUUAUUGUGAUGUCACGAGAGGCGCCGCCGCUCUCUCCGGGGUAGUUCAAAUAGUGCGAGGAAACCGGGUUCAAAAUGUAAACAAAAGGUUUUAAUUUCCGUCCUUCAGGUUCAACAGAAAACAGUCAAAAACAGGGGGUAACUCAGGCUUCGGUCAAUCUUUGCCGGUAAAACUUAACUUAACGGAAAUCCACUUCUUUGAGGAAAACAACACCGUCCUCCCGGUCUCUCCUGCCUCCUCGAAUCCUUAUGGCUUGGUCUGCUCUUCUCAGCUCGUCUCUCCUCCAAUGGUGUGUCUUCCACCUUUAUGAAGGCCUCCUGGUCGUCACACCCUGAUGGGUCUCAGGUGUGAGGGGAAUGCUCUGAGUUUCGGGGCACCAGCAGAUGGAGCCAUAGUAGUUAUAGCCAUCGCCGGUGAACGUAUCUCCCUUCCAAGACCAAGCCUCUCGUGACAUCACAUUAUUUACAAGAUAUUUAUUUAUAAUUGACCUCUUACUUAUCUAAAUGAUUUCAUGUGUUUGCAUUUCAUUUUACAUGUUUUGCAGACAACCCUGCAUCGCAUUUCGAACCUUUUCUAUUAUACACAAAAUCCUCUGCAUGUCGUCUGGAGAUCCUGACUUUGGUGUCCGAGAGAUAUUGCCCGUCCCCAACGUCCCUCACCCACCUGGGCGAGAUGCAGCCCUGAACACCGCCUCCUCUGUCAUCAUGCUGUACAUUCCUGAGAAUGCAAUCAUCCCGUUCCGACGGCCCAAAAUAAGAAAGGCAAAACUUUCCAAUCUGUUUCACAGAGUCAAAGCCCAACCCCACUCUCGUGUCCCAGCCUGCAGAACAUUUUUACCAGCACCACUUCAGCCGCAGCGCCUAUGAAGUGAUGGCGAUGGUGGGGCUACGGGCUUUUGGGUCUUGCCCAACGACGUAUUGAGGAGGACUGGUGGAGCCGGGGAAUUAACCUCCCACCCUAUGUCACCCUGGUCUCAGAAACCAUCUCCUUCCAACCCCCGACCAUAUCAUUCAGUUAUUAAGGUUCUCGGCUGCUGGUCUUUACCACUUGGGUUGCAUGUAUCCAUUCCAAGCCAAACAAUAUCAGAAAACUUCCACUUCCACCAGUCCUUAUUGAGCUAUCUUUUUGGAACUCAUAAGAGUUUUGUUUCCCCUCGUUCCCACCAGCCAAGGAAUGCCAGGGGUCCAAUACGGUUCUCUUCUGUUCAUCAUUCCACAUUGCUCUUUACCCUCCUUGUUCCUUUACUCUUCAUCCCUCAUGCUUUUACUCCAUCCCCACAUCCUACACCUGUUAUCAUUCCUUACCCGUCAUCCCACAAUCCCCCAUGACUCUCAUCCUUUCUUCCAUUAACCACCUGUUGCUCCCGAAGUCUG